This 267-nucleotide unclassified non-coding RNA is filed under the name plant metagenome. Its description in RNAcentral is "partial contains small subunit ribosomal RNA, internal transcribed spacer 1, and 5.8S ribosomal RNA". The record is from RNAcentral.
UUUCCGUAGGUGAACCUGCGGAAGGAUCAUUAUCGUACUAAAUGUGAGGGGCAGGCGAGGGCUGUCGCUCACCCAAAACUCGUGCACGCCCGAGUGUGUCCUCUUGCAUAAUAAUCCUUCUCACCCUUCGUGAAUCAACGCGUGAGCACCCUCCGCGUUCAUCUCGGAGGCGCGCUAGCGUUUUCACACAAACCCCCCUCUUAAAGGUGUAGAAUGACCACAUUUAUGCAAUCAAUACAACUUUCAACAACGGAUCUCUUGGCUCUC